AUUGUUAAUCUUUUGUUAAUUUUCUAAAUCUAAGGUUUCUCCCACACAAUCCUAAAAUUUUUGUUCUUCUUUUCUUGUUAUGAGUUUCGAUUACCCUAGGGUACUCAAGAGUGAUUGCCAUUUUGGGUAUUGGUUCUAUCGAGACACGGAUGACAUGGCAGGUGAUUUCUAACACGUGGCUGACACCUGGCGGAAUUCUGUUCGACUAUCGACCAGUAAGGCAUUGCAAGCAUGGAGCUGAGUUUUAUCACGACCAGCAUGGUCGUACAUUCUAGAUAUUUCAAAGAUAAUCUUAUAGGGAUCAUCGUCAUAUCCGAGAUUAUCUCCCAUGAUUUACUGAAUAUCCGAUUAUUUAAGAAAGAAUAUAUGUAACUAAUUCAUGUAAUCUUCCUUGAGCCUAUAAAUAAUGAGAAGAUAGCUCAAGGAAAGGACUUUUGGCUUUUGCUUAAUUAGAAUUACAUAUUCAAGAGAAAAUUAGAGCUAUUAGAUUACGAUUGUACUAUUUGUCUUUCUCAGGCUAGUGAAACUCAGAGAACCCUAGUUCUUUGAUCACUCCUUCGAGAUCUCAUAUCAAUAAUAGCUUAAGUAGACGUAGGUCAUUACCAGUUCUUGGGGCCGAACCACUAUAA
Molecule: long non-coding RNA, 629 nt
Organism: Humulus lupulus (European hop)
Lineage: Eukaryota; Viridiplantae; Streptophyta; Magnoliopsida; Rosales; Cannabaceae
Exons: 2
Source: RefSeq, a predicted model, not a curated record